UGCUAGGAGGCGACGAGUGGCGAACGGGUGAGUAACGCGUAGGAAUCCACCUAGUAGUGGGGGAUAGCCAAGGGAAACUUUGGGUAAUACCGCAUACGAUCUACGGAUGAAAGGGGGCCUCUCUUUGAAGCUCUCGCUAUUAGAUGAGCCUGCGUCGGAUUAGCUUGUUGGUAGGGUAAAGGCCUACCAAGGCGACGAUCCGUAGCUGGUCUGAGAGGAUGAUCAGCCACACUGGAACUGAGACACGGUCCAGACUCCUACGGGAGGCAGCAGUGGGGAAUAUUGGACAAUGGGGGCAGCCCUGAUCCAGCCAUGCCGCGUGUGUGAAGAAGGCCUUAGGGUUGUAAAGCACUCUUAGUAGGGAGGAAGGCCCGGUAGUUAAUACCUGCCGGGAUUGACGUUACCUACAGAAAAAGCACCGGCUAAUUUCGUGCCAGCAGCCGCGGUAAUACGAAAGGUGCAAGCGUUAAUCGGAAUUACUGGGCGUAAAGCGCGCGUAGGCGGCUUGGUAAGUUGGAUGUGAAAGCCCCGGGCUCAACCUGGGAACUGCAUCCAAAACUGCCAGGCUAGAGUAUGGUAGAGGAUGGCGGAAUUUCCUGUGUAGCGGUGAAAUGCGUAGAUAUAGGAAGGAACAUCAGUGGCGAAGGCGGCCAUCUGGACCAAUACUGACGCUGAGGUGCGAAAGCGUGGGGAGCAAACA
RNAcentral lists this ribosomal RNA (700 nucleotides) under uncultured Gammaproteobacteria bacterium. Its description in RNAcentral is "bacterial SSU rRNA". It matches the Rfam family "Bacterial small subunit ribosomal RNA", at positions 78 to 774 of the family's 1533-position model. The record is from RNAcentral. Lineage: Bacteria; Pseudomonadati; Pseudomonadota; Gammaproteobacteria.